This 1432-nucleotide ribosomal RNA is filed under the name uncultured organism. RNAcentral's name for it is "16S ribosomal RNA". It matches the Rfam family "Bacterial small subunit ribosomal RNA". The record is from RNAcentral.
UUAACACAUGCAAGUCGAACGGAAAGGCCCUGCUUUUGUGGGGUGCUCGAGUGGCGAACGGGUGAGUAACACGUGAGUAACCUGCCCUUGACCUUGGGAUAACUUCAGGAAACUGGGGCUAAUACCGGAUAGGAGCUCCUGCUGCAUGGUGGGGGUUGGAAAGUUUCGGCGGUUGGGGAUGGACUCGCGGCUUAUCAGCUUGUUGGUGGGGUAGUGGCUUACCAAGGCUUUGACGGGUAGCCGGCCUGAGAGGGUGACCGGCCACAUUGGGACUGAGAUACGGCCCAGACUCCUACGGGAGGCAGCAGUGGGGAAUAUUGCACAAUGGGCGGAAGCCUGAUGCAGCAACGCCGCGUGCGGGAUGGCGGCCUUCGGGUUGUAAACCGCUUUCGCCUGUGACGAAGCGUGAGUGACGGUAAUGGGUAAAGAAGCACCGGCUAACUACGUGCCAGCAGCCGCGGUGAUACGUAGGGUGCGAGCGUUGUCCGGAUUUAUUGGGCGUAAAGGGCUCGUAGGUGGUUGAUCGCGUCGGAAGUGUAAUCUUGGGGCUUAACCCUGAGCGUGCUUUCGAUACGGGUUGACUUGAGGAAGGUAGGGGAGAAUGGAAUUCCUGGUGGAGCGGUGGAAUGCGCAGAUAUCAGGAGGAACACCAGUGGCGAAGGCGGUUCUCUGGGCCUUUCCUGACGCUGAGGAGCGAAAGCGUGGGGAGCGAACAGGCUUAGAUACCCUGGUAGUCCACGCUGUAAACGGUGGGUACUAGGUGUGGGGUCCAUUCCACGGGUUCCGUGCCGUAGCUAACGCUUUAAGUACCCCGCCUGGGGAGUACGGCCGCAAGGCUAAAACUCAAAGGAAUUGACGGGGCCCCGCACAAGCGGCGGAGCAUGCGGAUUAAUUCGAUGCAACGCGUAGAACCUUACCUGGGUUUGACAUGGAUCGGGAGUGCUCAGAGAUGGGUGUGCCUCUUUUGGGGUCGGUUCACAGGUGGUGCAUGCCUGUCGUCAGCUCGUGUCGUGAGAUGUUGGGUUAAGUCCCGCAACGAGCGCAACCCUUGUUCACUGUUGCCAGCACGUUAUGGUGGGGACUCAGUGGAGACCGCCGGGGUCAACUCGGAGGAAGGUGGGGAUGACGUCAAGUCCUCAUGCCCCUUAUGUCCAGGGCUUCACGCAUGCUACAAUGGCUGGUACAGAGAGUGGCGAGCCUGUGAGGGUGAGCGAAUCUCGGAAAGCCGGUCUCAGUUCGGAUUGGGGUCUGCAACUCGACCUCAUGAAGUCGGAGUCGCUAGUAAUCGCAGAUCAGCAACGCUGCGGUGAAUACGUUCCCGGGGCUUGUACACACCGCCCGUCAAGUCAUGAAAGUUGGUAACACCCGAAGCCGGUGGCCUAACCGUUGUGGGGGAGCCGUCGAAGGUGGGACUGGUGAUUAGGACUAAGUC